This 2585-nucleotide long non-coding RNA is filed under the name Homo sapiens (human). RNAcentral describes it as "HSALNT0074010". Lineage: Eukaryota; Metazoa; Chordata; Mammalia; Primates; Hominidae. The record is from RNAcentral.
UUGACCAGCUUUGCUUUGGAAGGCCAAGUCUCACGGGGAUGUCCACUCAUUCAUCGUGAUGGCACCAGUGACGACUCUCGAACUUAGGAGCAGAAAAAGAAGGAAUGGCCAUGUGACUUAUGUCCAUGGAAAACCUGUUCUUGAGCGUUUUUCCAGACUGUGAUUGGCUGUGGAUAACAAACUGCGGAAUGCGAAACUGUUGAUAAGGGUGGACUACUGUAACUCUGGACAAUUUCCUCAACUCUGCCCAAUAUCAAAGGAAGGCUCUUGUAAGCAUUUCUAUAAAUUGCAAAAGCAGGCUCCAAGCAUUGUCAGUGAUGUGCUACAAAGAGGAACAACUAAGCUGACACAGAUAUGAAGGCAGCAAUGACACUGAACUGCCAGAAUAGUGAUCCUCAAAGGUGGACAGGUGUCACACCUGAAUCCCUGGGGGUCAGGACCAAUCAACUUCCCCGCCUACCCCAACCGUGGCCACUCUUUCUAGUCAUAGUUUAUCUUAUGCCUCAGGGGCAGUAAUGGGGUUAAGAAAUGGUAGAAAGUAUGUACCCAAAUUCUCAAUCACAUUUGAUUGUUCACUAGAACUUUUUCUAAGAAGACUAAAUGGUGAGAACGGGGGGAUGGCCCUCCAGGAAAAUUCAGGUAGGUGUCAUAAUAUUUAAUGAAAGAGGCAUUUCCUUUUUUAAUCCUUUGUAGGGUCAGAAAAGAAAAAAAUUCAAGAUAUGCAAAGGAAGCCAGAUCAAAAUCCCCUUGGCCAUGGAUACUGGUGCCCUACAUCAGCACCCUUCAAGAGUGUGGAUGAGGCUGAGUAGGUGGGAACCUGCAUCCCUUGAAAGAAGCAGGCAAGGACAGGGUAGUGACAAGUGCUGGUCACUUGUGAGGGCUGCCUCCCCAUCCAGUUCCCUCUGCAGCCAGGAGCAGGAGUUGUUUCUGGCUCAAGCCAGCCCCCAUGGCCGCCAUUCCCUUAUAUGACCCUGCUUCGCAGGGUAACGUACCAGACAGUUUCACGCUCGUUAUCCUUGCAACGGAUUACUCGGUGAGGAGCAUCAGAGAACUGAAAAGACAGACUGACUUCGACUUGAAUCCUGGCUCUUCCUCUUACUAGUUUCAUGGCCUUGGAUGGAAAAAUGAGUUAUUCCACUGAAGCCAGGAAAAUCCAUGCUGGCACCCUAGCAGUCCAUCAGAAAGUCGUUAUUUCUCCACUGUCAGAGAUCCUGUCCUGAAUAUGCAGCCUAGCACAGCAUGUUAUGGAGCUGCCUCUGGGAUCAAGGGAAAGGAGAACUCAGUACCCUGAGGUGCACAAAAGGCACUGCACAAGAAGGCCCACAUUGACGUGCAGAAGGAAGUGAAGAGGAAGGAGUGAUACAUUCUGAAAUGGUUGAAGAGCCGAAAAAAGGCAAAGCAUUGAGGAAAGUGAGAACUGAGGAAAAGGGCACUGGAUUUGAUGACUCACUACUCUCCUUUAGUGAACUUUAAUAGAAGAGUUUCAGUAGAGUAAUAGAAACCAAAAUUGCAACCAGUUCAACGAGUAGGAGGCAAAGAAAUGCCAGUGAACAUAGAUUAUGCUUGAAAUGAAUGCAAGAGAUGAGACAGCUGACUUCAGAAAGCAGCGGAUUCAACAGAAGAUUGUUUAAUUGGCUGACAAUUUUUAUGAUAAGAAAGACCAGAAAAGGUCUAUAGGCUAAUGGGGGAGAGGAUAGUGGGAAAAGAUUGUAGAGGUUUGGGAGGUUUUUGUCCUCAGAUAGGAGGAAAGAGAGAAGGUACAUGGCACCUAAUACAUACUCAAUACGUAUUUGUUGAAUUAAAAAGGAUCUAGUUUGGAGGAUGCUAACUCUUAUGGGGAGUAAUAGUAUAAUAAUUAAGUCAAAUCUUAGCAAGAGGUGGUUCCUGGAAGAACUCAGGUCUCAUUUGAAGGGAUCCCAAGAUCCCUUGAGCCAGGCACUUCUCCCCAUGCAGGAAUAUAGAGCCAUUGAUACCAGAGAUUCUGAUGGCAAAAAGCUGGAUUUUUGUGGGAGAUUUCUUUAUUUUUAAACUUUGACAACUGUUUUAAACAACGUUAAUCCAACAAAAUAGCCAAUAUUCAGUCAAUUGGCAACCACUUGGUAACUUGUAUUUUAGCACAUAUUUCUCUAGAUCAUACUUGCUUGAAUGGCAUUUAACAGUUUUAUUGAUAUAUAAUUUACAAAUACAAUUCACCCAUUUAAAGUGUACAAUUCAACUGCUUUUAGAAAUUUCCAGAUAUGUGUAACCAUCACCACAGAGCAUUUAAAAAAUUUUCAUCACCUCAAAAAGAAACCUGGGGGUUCUUUAGCUAUCACUCCCCUAUUUCCUCACUCCCCCAACCCCAAGCAACCACUAACCUACGUUCUCUAUACAUUUGCUUAUUCUGUAUUUUAUUUGAAUGAAAUUGUGUAAAAUGUAGUCUUCUGUGACUGGCAUAUUUCACUUAGGGGAUAGGUUUUUUUUUGUUUUUGUUUUCAAGUAAAGAAGUGAGAAUGUGAAAAAUUUGGAGGGAUUUUAAUCUCAGUGAAAGGGAAGGCCAGGGGGUCUCAUCACAGGAGAAGAGGAGAGGAAAAGGGAGAGGGGAA